UACGUAGGGUGCAAGCGUUAAUCGGAAUUACUGGGCGUAAAGCGAGCGCAGGCGGUUAUUUAAGUCAGGUGUGAAAGCCCCGAGCUCAACUUGGGACGUGCAUUUGAAACUGGAUAACUAGAGUGUGUCAGAGGGGGGUAGAAUUCCACGUGUAGCAGUGAAAUGCGUAGAGAUGUGGAGGAAUACCGAUGGCGAAGGCAGCCCCCUGGGAUAACACUGACGCUCAUGCUCGAAAGCGUGGGUAGCAAAC
RNAcentral lists this ribosomal RNA (250 nucleotides) under uncultured bacterium. Its description in RNAcentral is "partial 16S ribosomal RNA". It matches the Rfam family "Bacterial small subunit ribosomal RNA", at positions 524 to 773 of the family's 1533-position model. The record is from RNAcentral.